UACGGGGGGGGCAAGCGUUGUUCGGAAUUACUGGGCGUAAAGGGCUCGUAGGUGGCCAACUAAGUCAGACGUGAAAUCCCUCGGCUUAACCGGGGAACUGCGUCUGAUACUGGAUGGCUUGAGUUUGGGAGAGGGAUGCGGAAUUCCAGGUGUAGCGGUGAAAUGCGUAGAUAUCGGGAGGAACACCAGUGGCGAAGGCGGCGAUCUGGGAAGAUACUGACGCUGAGGUGCGAAAGCGUGGGGAGCAAACAGG
RNAcentral lists this ribosomal RNA (253 nucleotides) under uncultured bacterium. RNAcentral's name for it is "partial 16S ribosomal RNA". It matches the Rfam family "Bacterial small subunit ribosomal RNA", at positions 524 to 776 of the family's 1533-position model. The record is from RNAcentral.